This 431-nucleotide ribosomal RNA is filed under the name uncultured bacterium. RNAcentral describes it as "partial 16S ribosomal RNA". It matches the Rfam family "Bacterial small subunit ribosomal RNA", at positions 29 to 507 of the family's 1533-position model. The record is from RNAcentral.
AACGAACGCUGGCGGCAGGCUUAACACAUGCAAGUCGAGCGCCCCGCCAGGGGAGCGGCAGACGGGUGAGUAACGCAUGGGAACAUACCCAACCCUACGGAAUAACCCAGGGAAACUUGGACUAAUACCGUAUACGCCCUUUUGGGGGAAGGUUUAUCGGGGAUGGAUUGGCCCGCGUUGGAUUAGCUAGGUGGUGGGGUAAAGGCCUGCCAAUGCGACGAUCCAUAGCUGGUCUGGGAGGAUGAUCAGCCACAUUGGGACUGCGACACGGCCCAAACUCCUACGGGAGGCAGCAGUGGGGUAUAUUGGACAAUGGGCGCAAGCCUGAUCCAGCCAUGCCGCGUGAGUGAUGAAGGCCUUAGGGUUGUAAAGCUCUUUCACCGAUGAAGAUAAUGACGGUAGUCGGAGAAGAAGCCCCGGCUAACUUCGUG